RNAcentral lists this ribosomal RNA (253 nucleotides) under uncultured bacterium. RNAcentral describes it as "partial 16S ribosomal RNA". It matches the Rfam family "Bacterial small subunit ribosomal RNA", at positions 524 to 776 of the family's 1533-position model. The record is from RNAcentral.
UACGUAGGGUGCGAGCGUUAAUCGGAAUUACUGGGCGUAAAGCGUGCGCAGGCGGCUUUGCAAGACAGAUGUGAAAUCCCCGGGCUCAACCUGGGAACUGCAUUUGUGACUGCAAGGCUAGAGUACGGCAGAGGGGGAUGGAAUUCCGCGUGUAGCAGUGAAAUGCGUAGAUAUGCGGAGGAACACCAAUGGCGAAGGCAAUCCCCUGAGCCUGUACUGACGCUCAAGCACGAAAACGUGGGGAGCAAACAGG